GUCCACGCCCUAAACGAUGUCAACUGGUUGUUGGGGAGGUGAAAUCCCUUAGUAACGAAGCUAACGCGUGAAGUUGACCGCCUGGGGAGGUACGGUCGCAAGAUUAAAACUACAAAGGAAUUGACGGGGACCCGGCACAAGCGGUGGAUGAUGUGGAUUAAUUCGACGCAACGCGCAGAACCUUACCAGGGCUUAACAUCCCAUGAUCGCUACAGAGAUGUAGUUUUCCUUUCGGGGACAUGGAGAUAGGUGCUGCAUGGCUGUCGU
Molecule: ribosomal RNA, 267 nt
Filed under: uncultured bacterium
Lineage: Bacteria
Description: partial 16S ribosomal RNA
Rfam family: Bacterial small subunit ribosomal RNA
Source: RNAcentral